UAAUUAUAACGACUUGGCUAAGGAGGCCAGUCCGGAUAGUGGCUGUUCUCAAAAAUACUAGCUAAUGAAAAACUGAAUACUGUAUGUCCAUAUUAUUUUGUGUAGUUAAUGUGAAAGUAUUUCCUUUCAUCUCUUUGAAAUUUUAUUUAAGGUAGUGUUUACUUCUAUGUCCAGCAGUAUUAUUUCAUUGUGACGAAGAUUUAUGUGUUAUGUGUGUGAAUGCGUGUAACUAAUAUGAUACAAACUGAUGUAGGUUUUAAAGAGUUUCCCGGAGUGCCUUCAAGCAAAUAUAUAACUUCAUUUGAACAAAGGCCUGCUGAAUAAGUGCCCAGCGUUCCAGAAGGCAUUUACAGGAUAUCUUCGUGUCUUAACUACGCAGUGCGCUCCCUGGUGACACAUUUAUACAUCCGGGUGAUAUACUAGCUGACGGCUUUCUAUUUAAUUGCAUGCGGUUCAUUAGAGAUUGUGACAGAAAAGGAAAUGUUACAGUGAUAUGUGAUGCUGAAGUGUUUCUUCGUUUGACACCAGCUCGACAAAGUGGGCGAUCUACCUGCUAGCACGGGACCGCAGGUAGGAGAAGAUGAGCCGACAUCUAUGAAAUUCUAAAUUGCUCUGCAGCAAGCCUCUGGUGACACAUACAGCGUCCAAAGACAGAUGAGUGAAAAGAUGGUUAGAUACUGCAGCCACGAGAAUCAAUGAAGCUUACGUUGCCAACGCUACAGAUAGUGGACCCAGCAUAAAGACGUAUUACAUCACAGCGUUAUAUUUUACGUUUACGUCACUGACGUCAAUAGGAUUCGGAAACGUGUCACCAAAUACUAAUGGAAUUGACAUGCCGGUAAAGAUGAUAUAUUUGGUGGUGAUUGCAGUGACGUGGAAUGCUCGGGAAAAUCGUUCUAUUUUGUACUUGCCCUUAGUUACUGUGAUAUUAACAAGAUAGAGUUACACGUGCUGAAAGAAACAAUGGAUAUAUAACCAGAAUUUUCAAAAAGAAUUAAUGGGUAAAAUACAAGUGCCAUUCAAUCUUAAGAUGCUAAAUUGUGAUCUCUUUUGACAAAAGCUCGACGAAUGGGACCACAGAUCGGAGAAGAUGACCUGACGUCUAGGGCAUUCGAAUUUUCUCCGCUACCAGCAAGUAGUGGUAUAGAUACG
Long non-coding RNA from Mercenaria mercenaria, 1152 nucleotides. RefSeq lists it as uncharacterized. The record is from RefSeq and is a predicted model, not a curated record. The transcript is spliced from 6 exons. NCBI's taxonomy places the organism in Eukaryota, Metazoa, Mollusca, Bivalvia, Venerida, Veneridae.